AAAGAUACCUGGCAGGUGAGAUACCAGAUUCACGAAGGUGGUUUUCCCAGGGCGAGGCUCACCCAUUGCCCUCCAGAUGUGCCGACCCCUGCGAUUUCCCCAAAUGUGGGAAACUCGACUGCUUGAUUUGUGGUAGUGGGGGACUGCAUUUGUGCCCUCCCCUA
Small nuclear RNA from Artibeus jamaicensis (Jamaican fruit-eating bat), 164 nucleotides. RefSeq annotates it as U1 spliceosomal RNA. The transcript has a single exon. The record is from RefSeq and is a predicted model, not a curated record. Lineage: Eukaryota; Metazoa; Chordata; Mammalia; Chiroptera; Phyllostomidae.